GGGGCAAUGGCGUAGUUGGGAGCGCGUUUGACUGAAGAAAACUUCAGGAACAAGGUAUUAUCCGCCUAGUUGAUCAGAAGGUCACCGGUUCGAUCCCGGUUUGCCCCA
RNAcentral lists this transfer RNA (108 nucleotides) under Microsporum audouinii. Its description in RNAcentral is "tRNA-Phe". It matches the Rfam family "tRNA". From Rfam's summary of the family: Transfer RNA (tRNA) molecules are approximately 80 nucleotides in length. Their secondary structure includes four short double-helical elements and three loops (D, anti-codon, and T loops). Lineage: Eukaryota; Fungi; Ascomycota; Eurotiomycetes; Onygenales; Arthrodermataceae. The record is from RNAcentral. RNAcentral also lists the same sequence under 2 other names.